ACAUGCAAAGCCGGGAGCAAAAUCAUCAAGGCUUACGGUAAAACUAAGAUCAAUGGAAAGUAUGCCAUCACAGUUAAGGACUUUGACUAUGUCAAAUAUGGUUCAACAGUGUGCAAGGCUGCCCUUUAUGCUCCACCUAAGGGUUCACCCUUCAACAUACCUACAAAGCUAAACCAAGGAACAAACUUGUACUUGAAAUCCAAAGACAAGUACGAGGUUGUGCUCAAGGCUAAGCCAUUUGCUUAUGCUUCAAAGAAACAUUUCAAAGAAUGUGAGAAGUCCAAGCCUUCACCAACUCCUUACUACUACAAAUCACCUCCACCUCCCUCACCAGUUUACAAGUAUAACUCACCACCUCCACCCGUCCAUUAUUACUCACCUCCAUAUUACUACAAGUCACCUCCUCCCCCCGUGAAAGCGGCACCAACUCCUUACUACUACAAAUCACCUCCACCUCCCGCACCAGUUUACAAGUACAACUCCCCACCUCCGCCAGUCCAUUACUAUUCACCUCCAUACACCUAUAAGUCACCUCCUCCUCCUGUGAAAGCAGCACCAACUCCUUACUACUACAAAUCACCUCCACCUCCCGCACCGGUUUACAAGUACAACUCACCACCUCCACCGGUCCAUUAUUAUUCUCCACCAUACUACUACAAGUCACCACCCCCACCAUCUCCAUCACCUCCUCCACCAUACUAUUUCAAAUACUAUUACAAGUCCCCACCUCCACCAUCACCAUCCCCUCCUCCACCUUAUUAUUACAAAUCUCCUCCUCCACCAAAACAAAUUUCACACCCUCCAUACUACUAUAAGUCACCACCCCCACCAUCACCAUCACCUCCUCCACCAUACUAUUAUAAGUCUCCACCUCCACCAUCACCAUCUCCCCCACCACCUUAUUAUUAUAAGUCACCACCCCCACCAUCCCCGUCCCCUCCUCCACCAUACUACUACAAGUCUCCACCUCCACCUAAAGAAAUAUCACAUCCUCCAUAUAACUAUAAGUCACCACCCCCACCAUCACCAUCCCCUCCCCCUCCAUACUAUUACAAAUCUCCUCCACCACCAUCACCAUCACCACCACCUCCCUACUAUUACAAAUCACCUCCACCACCAUCACCAUCACCUCCCCCUCCAUACUAUUACAAAUCUCCUCCACCACCAUCACCAUCACCACCACCUCCUUACUAUUACAAAUCACCUCCACCACCAUCCCCAUCACCACCACCUCCAUACUACUACAAAAGUCCCCCUCCACCAUCUCCAUCUCCUCCAUCCCCAUAUUACUACAAAUCUCCACCACCACCAUCACCAUCCCCACCCCCUCCCUACUAUUACAAAUCACCUCCACCUCCCUCACCAUCACCGCCACCUCCUUACUAUUACAAAUCUCCCCCACCUCCAUCUCCAUCUCCACCACCUCCUUAUCACUAUCAAAGUCCUCCUCCCCCAUCUCCCAUUUCUCAUCCUCCCAACUACUACAAAUCCCCUCCACCACCAUCGCCAUCUCCUCCACCUCCAUACCAUUACGUGAGUCCUCCCCCACCAGUAAAGUCACCUCCACCACCAGCUUACAUCUAUGCUUCUCCACCACCACCAAUCUACAACUAGCCUCACAACACCAAAUCACCAUUGGUGAUAAAUUAUGUAAGUUUACCAUUAUUGCAAUCAUAACACUUGCAUCUUUUCCCACCCAUACACACACAUAUCACAUGUUUAAAUUUUAUGUACUAAUCAACAAAAACUCUUAUUUGUUUUCAGGUUCUAGUUUUCAUCAAGGAAUAAAGUCGUCCAUUUGGAGCAAAGUGAAACAACUAGCUCUCUGUCCAAAUUAUUUGAUGGCCAUCUUGCACUUCCUAAUCUUAUUGUGUUCAAGUGACUGGCUAAUCAAAAUGUGGAAGCGAGAUUAAUUUAUUUAUUAUCUCUUUGAUUUAUAUGUGCAUAGAUUGAUAUUUCCCUGUAUGAUAACUUUAUUUUUAUUGAGGAUUUUUUGUAUUGUACCCUGUUGUGUUUGUUAAAAUAAGUAUUAUCAAUGAAGAAUUACCUUCAAUUUCUUUCCACCUAAUUAGUUCUUGUUUCUUUUAAACAACUAUCAAGCAUGUCAGCAAGGCAAAGCAUACCACUACCACCAUAUCACCAUAAAAUGCAUCAUUAUUCAUUGCAUAUGAGAUAAAUAUAUGCAAACUAUAUCUAAUUAUUAAGAGGGGGAAAAAACUAAUGUACAGAAAAUGUACCUCAAGGCUUCAGGAUAGGUGUUAGAAACCCAAGCUUUUAAUAGCUCUCUCCAAGAAUCCUCGUUUCUACAACUUAAGUUCCUAUAUUAAUCAAUUAUAAUAUAUGAGAAACUUAUGUUGUCGACCAACAAUACAGGUGACUCAAAAAAAUAUUAUAUUUUAAAAGUCAAACCUUGAGCUAUACACAUGUAAGCAUCAUCAAUAUAAGUUUCACCAUUGUUCAUGUGUAUUAUUCCAUAAAUUUUGGCUCAGUUGAGGUUACUACACUGGUUUUCUUCCUAUUGUAUCAUAUAUUUAAAUACUAUGGUGCGUUUGGAUAAACAGCUUAUGUCACAAGCACUUAUCAUGAUAAGCGCUUUUGUAUAAACUUGCAUGAGUUAUUUUCAUAUCAAAAGAUAAACAAGAACAUUAAAUUGUUUUUGUAUAUUACUUAAGUUGUUUUCAUAAGCUAUGUUGAAGAACUAAUGAAAAUUAGCUGAAAAAAGCUUAUGCUGUUUUCAUGAAUUCUCCCUAACAGUCUCACAAUAUUUAUGUCAGUAUAUAAUCAAAUAAGUCAAUCCAAACAGGCCCCACGUCUUCUAUAUUAGACCAUAUGACAAUUUCUUUUCGGUUUAUUCUCAUUAAAAGUUAAAAAUGGUGUAUUUGAAUCCUAUAAUUCUUUGUCAUACAAGUGCAUUCAAAUACAAUUUGAAGCCAUGGUGAAAGUGUUUAAUUUGCAGAGCUCACCAACAUAAUCUAACGUAUAUUUGGAUUGACUUAUUUGAACUUAUCUACUAGCACAAAUACUUGUGAGAUUGUUUACGAAAGUUUAUGGAAAAAACUUACAACACACACAUAAGUUGUUUUCAGCUUAUUUCCAUAAACUCUUCAAAAUAGCUUAUGAAACAACUUAUAUGAUAAGAGCUUAUUCUAUAAGCGCUUAAUUAAGUUUUAAUCCAUUCUUCUUCUACCUUCAUCUUCAGUUAACAAAACGAAUACAAUUUCUGAAAAUUCAAAGUUCAAACACCAAAAAAUACCUAAAAUGAAAAAUUGUUGAAUGAAAGCGCAAAUAGAACCUGGCAAUGCGUUCGAGAAGCACGUGGAGGAGGUGGCGUGGCAGAAGAAUGUGUGGAUUUCAUCGGAGAAUUUCAGUUCUGCUCGCGCCAUUUAAGAAAUUUUGUAAACUUAAAGUUUAGUUUAAGUUUACCCCUCUUUUUUUUUCAUUUUAAAGGAGUUUACCCUACAAAUUUUUGUAUGUUUUUGCCACGUUUACAAAUGAUUUAAUAUGUUUUUAUCCUAUAUAUAUUUAGGGAUGUAAAUGGAUAUUAUGAUGCGGAUAGUGUAAUAUUUGUGUCUGUUCCAUUGGAUAAAUAUGAAAUCUGUACCAUAUUCAUAUCGUACGGAUAUCUGUUUAGCGGGUAAUCCACAGAUUUUGAGAUAUUUGAGUGUUUAUAGAUAUAUUCAUUGAUAACAUUUAUAAAAAUAAAAUAAAAAAUUUGUUUAAUUCUUUUUAGAGACAAAGGUUCUUCAUAUGCAUUUUCUUUUCUUUUUAACAAAACAUAAUAUUCAUACAUUAUAAUAACAACAAAGAUCAUUGACUCAACAAAAACAUAAAUAAAGUUGCUUACAUUUAAUAAAAAUAAAGUUAUUUGAUUUAACAAAAACAAAGCUCUUGCAUCAACAAUCCCAACCACUUUCACUUCCUUUUAAAAGAGUGUAAUAACAAAUAACACUCACAAUACAUAAGGUUUUUUUUUAGGAAGUUGAAUGAUAUUAAGGUUAUUUAUGUAAUUUACUCGGUUUAAUAGUCGGUAUGGAUAUCCACGGGUGUGGAUACCGUUAAAUCCGCAUCCAUAUCCAUUAAUUAGCAGGUAGUUAAAAAAUUCAUUUAUUUUAUCCAUUGAUAUCCAUUAAGGUAUCCGCUCCGUGCCCGUGACGGAUUAUAUCCGCGGAUAUUCACGGGUGCGAAUUUUUUUGUCAUCCCUAUAUAUAUAUAUUAGUCUUAAACUUGACUAUUUUUUAUUAUCAUUUGGUGCUAUAAUUAAAAAAAAAAAAAAAAUAUUGUUCGUCUGAGCCAUUUAGCUACAGGCUAUUACUUUUCUCAUUCUACAUGUUUCUCGCUUGUCCUAUUUUUUUUUUAAUACUUUUUGCUCGAAUUCUAAAAUCUAAACUCCUAUAGGGAUUUUUGGAUUCUAUAAUCCAAAACACGUUGAAACCCAAAAAUAAAAUAAAAAACUAUGUAAUUGAAAUCAAAGAUCUCUACUGCUAAUGCACGUUUUCCACAAAAACUACAAAGUAAUUUCAAAGUAAUUUCACAAAAACUAUCGUAUGAAUAGACAGCAAUGAGCAUGAUAUCAUAAAUAACUCAAAACUUUAUAAAAAUAAAAAUAAAAAAAUGAAUAAGAAGAUGUGAAGAAUGAAUGUAAACGUUGGAGGAUACAAAGCUAUUUAUAGACAUAAAAUGUUCCUAGACUCUAAAGUGGGUCAAAGAAAACAUGAAUAACAUUUACAACUUAAUUAACACAUCACAGAUCAUUCAAACCUUUGGUGUAACAUCAUCGUAUGUAGUCUGGCACAGUUUGGAUUAUACAAUCUGAACAUUUCAUAAGCAGUUUGGAUUAUAUAAUUUGAACUAUCCCAGACUGUGUUUCAGCUUGAUGUUUGGAGGGUUUUGUAUGGUGGAUAACACAAAAAAAUGACAUAAUUCAACAACGUAAAAAAUAUAAUAAGAUAAGUGAUGAUGAAAGGGAAGCCGCACCAAGAGGUGUUUUUGAAUUCGAUCCAGUUGUCCUAUCAACUGACAUAUAUUUCUAUUGGCAUGGCAGCAAGAUCAAGUUUCAAAACGACCUUUUUGUGUUCAUAUCCGCAAAAUAAUGAUGAAAGGCAAGGUAUUCCAAGAAGUGUUUUUUAACUUGAUCUCGCUACCUUGUCAACUAACAUAUUUCUAUAGACAGUGCAGCAAGAUCAAAUUUAUAACAACCUCUAGGUGUUCAUAUCCGCUAAGUAAUUUUUCGUAGUUCUUUAUUGUGAUCUACAAAAAAAAAAAAAAAAAAGAUCUAUUUAUAUAAGUUUAUGUGCGUCGCGAACCAGAUAAAUUUUCGAUGCAUUGUGGACCAAAAAAAAAUUCUAAUUCGGACUAAACAAGAUGAAUUUUCCUUCACCCUAGAAAGUAAAAGUUUUGACAAACACAAGACUGAUUAUACAUUAAAUACAACAAUCAGCCAAACUAAACAUAUUAGAUCACAAAUCUUUCAAACUAACUUCUUCAUUGGAUUCCUCCAAGAGAGCCUUGAUUUAUUUGUAUGUUCUAGGCCGAAUCAAUUUUUUUUAAUAUCUUUGAAAGGGCCCGACCAAGAAAACAUCCAACUCAAUUGGUCAUUUAAUACCGUACUGACCAAAUAUUAAAACAUUAUUCUCUUAUCGCAUUGUUCCUGAGUUUAAUCUAGGUAAACUAGAUGCUUUCAUCUUAGCCAAUCGAUGGACUUUGAUGCUCAACAUUGUCCAUCCUUCUUGUGUCUGUGUUGUUGAGUCGACGGUUGAUUUAGUCCAGCUAAUAUUGGACUUUCCCCCAUUGUAGUAAACUACAGUUAGUUUGGUGUCAGAUCAAUGAUUGAAGUGUUCAUGAUUAUUUGGUGUGGUUUAUAGCAAAUGAAAACAAGCACACCAAUUUAUAGAAGUUUAUGUGCGCCGCGGACUACAAUAACUAUUGGUGCAAUGAAGACCAUAGAAAAAGCAUGUACUUGGCUGAUUUGGAUUAUAUAAUUUACAUUGUCCCUCACCCUACAAAGUACAAAUUUCAACACAAUAUUGAACCAAUUCGGAUUAUAGAAUCCAAUCAUUUAUGAGAUAAUUUCGGAUUAUAUAAUUAAAACUAGUUCACAAUGUGAACCGCAGCUUGGUCAGCAAGACUAACUCAUUAAAAAUGUUUUUUAAGUUGGUGAACGACGCUUGACUGGUCAGCAAGACUUGAAAACAAUUUUCGUACCAUGCAUUAAUGGACCAUUACCCUCUAUGAAAUGUACUUCACAAAUUCUCCUUCCGAAUACCCACUAAUACAUCACAAAUUCUUAUUUCAUCUCACAUUCUCUCGUUCUUUUUACUUCUACAAUGUGCUUCCAUAGUUUGUGUUUCAUACAAAAAUGUUACUCUAAUAUUUUAUGGAUUGUAUGAAUGGUCAAAAGGCAAAAAUUGGCACCAUCUGUUUGGAUGUAAGGUUGAUCAUCAAAGUCUAAUCCACUAAGAGAGGAAACAAACCUUACCCCAACCUCAUUCCCCAUUCAUCUUCUUGCACCGCAUGUUUAAAUGAUACUCCCUCCGGUCCUAUUUAUAAGAGAAAGUUAGGUCAACAAAAGUUGAUGUAUCUGAACUGAAUUUUUAACCGGAUACAUCAACUUUUGUUGACCCAAAUUUCUCUUAUAAAUAGGACCGGAGGGAGUAUUUGUACAACCAUUUUGGUACAACUUUUGUACAACUUUCUCUCUCAUACUCACAUUAUGUUUUUAUUCUCUCUCUUACUUUUUUUCUCUCCAUUGUGGUUGACCAAUAAGAAGGGAGAAUAUCAAGGUUGUCACAAAAAUUGUAACAAAAGAGUUGUUCAAAUAUCAUUACUCUUAUCAUUAUGUGUUAAAUAAUUUUGUGUAAUAAGCUUCAAUGACAAUGUAAAUAUACAAUAAAAGAUAUAAAUUAUUCAUAAAAUGAAAAUUUUAUUCAUUUAUCUUUUUAUAUUUUUGUCUCUUUUAGUUUCAGUCAUUUUCAAUUAUGCAUUCUUAAUAUUAUGUCAAUGUUGAUCAAUAAUUAUUGGCAAAAGAAGUUUUCAUGUUAUAGAAUAUGAAAAUCCCUGGUACCAAAAAAAAAAAAAAUCUGAAAAUCCCUCUAUAGGAUUUCAGAUUUUAGAAUCCGACCAAAUGGUAUUUUGAAGAGAGAAAAAUAGUGUGUCUAAGUAACUCAUGUUGAGAAAAGUAAUAGCCUUAAUUAUGUCUCCGAUAAACAUUUUAUUCCCUUCCGUUAAUCAGUUAAUCCCAAAUGUCUAAGGUGAACCAAUAUUAUAGGUGGUCUACCAUAAACCUCAUAACAAUUUUAAGGUCAAAUACCACUUUUGGUCAUUUUAGUUUGACAGAAUUCUCAAGUUAGUCAUUUAAGUUUCGAAAGUUUCAAUUAGGUCCUUUUAGUUUGACAGAAUUCCCAAGUUAAUCCUUUAAGUCAUAAAAUUCAGGGGAGCAAAGUAGAUACUCCAGUUUUCAGAGGCGGAGACAUAGUCAUGUCAAAAGCAUCCCACAUCCUAUUACCACCUACUUGAACUCAUCAAGCUUGGUAUGGACCAUUCACAGUAACAUGUGUAUGUAGUCUCGUGGAGAUCUGGGACAAUAUCAAAUGGCAUGCUAAGGUGAAUCGACACAAACUGAAGCAUGUUAAAGAUUGCAUCCGGAAAAUGAAAGUUGAAGAAGAUGAACCUGCUUUGAAGAGGUUCAAGGGCACAACAUAGACUUAUUCUCCAUGUUCAAGAUGUAAAACACGCAUUGAACGAGAGACAACCCAUUAAUUUAUUUUCUCCGUUAUUUGUCUUGUGUCAUUUUUGCUCGAAUUUUUUGCCGUCAAUUCUUUAUGAAUUAUCAGUCAUAUUAUAUUACACACUAGACAAUUUUUUUGGUACCUUGAGCCUUUUCAAUCCGCCCUUAUCAUCAUUAUAUCCUUUGCUAAAUCCCUUUGAGCUUCCAUGCAUUAUUUCUUUUGUUUUUUUUAUUAAGUAACAAAUCAUGUCACAAGUUUGAACUUUUAAUGCCAUCUAUUUGAUUUCUUUUAUAGUUAGAUAGAAUAUUUUUAAGAACUUGGUAUGAUUUGAAUAUAUGUUAGGGUUAUAAGGGAGAAAUGUAAUGGCAAAGAGGAAGAGCAAGAAAAGAGAUGAAAGAUGAAGGGACAUUAGGCAGACUCAAUCACGGUAGUUAGAAUGAUUGCCUUCUGUUUUGCAGUAAUUUGCAUGAGCUUCACUUUUCAAGUAGAGUAAAAAAAACAGGAAUAGAUAGACACAUUUCUUCUAAGUUUGAGUAGUGAGUGAUAACACUUCUAUGUAAUCCCUAAAAAAAAACACUUCUAUGUAAAAAAAUCACAUGGGAAAUCCAUUCCUAUAGUACACGUAAUUUUGAUCUGGAAGGUUGACUUUUCAACAAAAUAACCUAAAAUAAUUUGUUCAUAACAUAAUAGAGGAAUCUAGAAGUGUUCGCGGUGCGGUUUGAUUCGGUUUUGAGCAAAAAAGUCAUCCAAACCGCGCGAUAAAAAAACAUGUGGUUUGGUUCGGUUGAUUUUUAAAAAAUCAUCCAAACCAAACCAAACUAAACCAAUACGGUUUGGAUUGGUUCGGUUUGUGCGGUUUAUCGCGAGAUAAAAAAAAAAUAUUACAUUAACUCUAAUAUUUCCAAAUUGUUACAAAAUAAACAUAGAACGUUUUUUUAUUUAUUUUUAUAUGAUAAAAUAUUAGGUAAAACUCAUAUCAAAAUAGGUAAAAUUAAGAAGAAUUUAUAAGCAUGAAACAAAUUAUUGGAAAGUAAAGGAAACAAAUUUAAGUAAUAUUCAUUAUUCUUGCAGCUAUGUAAUUGGGCUAGAAACAUUUUAUUUUGAUGUUUAUAUCGAACAUGAUGGUGCAACAAUGGAAAAAUCAAAUCAAAAAAGAUUAUUCUUGAGCUAUGUAAUUGAGCUAGUACAUAUUUAAGUAAUAUUCAUUAUUCUUGCGGUUUGGUUUGGUUUGAUUCGGUUGCUGAGAUGCAAACCGCAAAUCAAACCAAACUGUAUGUUUUAGUGCAAAAGUCAUCUGAAUUCAUCCGAAAUCAAGUACGAUUUUUUACGAUUUUGAAUUGGUUUAAUUUGCCGUUUUUCUAUUGGAUUGGUUCGGUUUGAACGAUCUGCAUGAAUUCUUCUAGUUGAUUGUUGGACUAUUUUUAAUUGGCAAAGGCUUAGUUGUCCAUUUAUAAAUAUAAAUACUAUUAUUACAUUAUCCAAUCCAAUAGCACCAAAACCAAUAUAAUAAUGGUAAUUUGCAAUUUUGCACGUUUCAUUCAUUUAUUGGUGCCUUAAUUUUGGGUUACAGACCGACAUUGAUCAGUUGCUAAAAAACCACUGCAUCCUUAUUUUUUACGAGGUAGAUGCAUCGGACAAAUAAACCGACAAACAAAGCUAUUCAGAAAGUGCUCAGAAAUUUUUUGUGCCCCAACAGAAAAUAUUAAGAAAGUCUUGCUACACAGUGUCUUGUAUACAAGUGAAAUAUGUGUGGUAUUAUGCACAAGUUUAUUUUUACAAGUUGAUAUAAGAAUCUAAGUAUAUUUUUAUGGAAAAUUAAUGCUAACAAAUACUUUCAAAGCAUUGUUUAAGCAAUCAAUAUUAGUAACUUUUGCAUAGAAAUAUGUGUGAUUAUUAUUUUUUCAUAUGUUUUAUAUGUUUUCAAGAAAAUAUUUUUAUUUAUGGUUUUUUUAAAUAGUGUCCUUAGGUACUUGUUAGCAAAAUCUUAUUUAUAUAAGUUGAUCUAAGAAUCUCAUUAUUGUAUCGAGUGAGAUACGGCCAUACCGAAGCUUAUGGAUUCCAUAGUGGAAAAAUAACUUUUCAUCAGUGCAAUACUAUUUUAGUUGUAGAAUUUCUUUUCUUGUGUGUCCUAUUUCAGAUUUUAAAAUCCAAACAAUCGAAGGUUUAUGAAGGUUUUUCGAACAUUUUCGCACUGUUUGAAUUAUAUGAUCUGAAAUGUCAUAGAACAUGCGAGAAGCAAGUUGAAUGAAAUAAAAAACUCCUGCUCAAUAGAAUUAUUUUACUUGGUUAUUGUUUGAAUUUUAUUCUCCUUCAAAGACGGCAAUGUGCAAUUGUGCAUUUCAUCCGGAGAGUGGCAACAUCUCAUGCAUGUUCAUCUCAUAUAACUGAGAAGUCACAUGGCUUGGAAAAUCUUAAACCGAGAAAAACAAAAGGAGUAAAAGUAAUAAUAGUGAACCAAAGUGAAGAUGAACUUGUAGUCUAUCAAAAGAAGAUGAACUUGUUCGUCUUGGCAUAGUAACUCAUUUUUAUUCCUUGUUACCUAUGAAACACGGACAAUAGAUACAACACGGACACCAAUACGUUAAUACCGUUAAUAAUAUAAAAAAAUAGGUACAUUGAAUAAUUAAUGUAUUUGACCUAUAAAUGUGACCAGAUAUAUUAAUUAUUCAAUGUAUCUAAAAAGUUGGUUUUUGUUUAUAAAUAUGAUCAUAUGGAGUACUACUUUAGUGUAAUUUUAUGUAUUGGUACUGCGAGACAUCUAAUCUAAAGAGUGUCAAUGUUUUCACACAUAUUACUCACCAAAGUGCACACAUUAUAUGCAUUUAGGUAAACUGAGUUCAUCCAAAAUUGUAACCGCACAAACAGAGGGCCGCUAGGAAAUAUGAGGUAAAUUUGGAUUAUUCUUUAUCAAAAGCUUAUGACCAAAGAAAAACUAUACAAAAACUAAUGUUCAAAAAGUACAUAAAGUAAUAAUGCAAAGUCAAUGUGUAUAUAUAUUUCACCAUUAAAUAAAAGGGGAAAAAAAUCUCCAUACACAGCUUGCAAUAGCUACCAUCAUGGCCUAAAGCAAAUAUCAUAUGACCACUAAAAAACAAUAGAAAAUAAACAAAUAAAAAGAGAAAAACAAAAGAGAAAAUGGUAUAAAGAAAUCAUGUAGUAGUUAGUUUUUUCUCAAGAUGGGCAACUCAGCAGGGCUGCUAGGAGGAAAUUACAAAAGAACAUGACACUUAACUUCUCUAAUCAUUCAAAAUUUGUCAAGAUGCUGAUUAUAUAUUUUAAUUAGUAGUUAGAGAUUGUUAUAGUAACGUGUUCUAGCCAUCAAGAAUAAAACAAUGUCAUGGAAAAGAAGUGGCCUACUAGAAGAAUUAAUUUAAAGCAUUUACACCAAAAUAAAAACAAAUUGAAUAUUGGAAUUGGUCCUUCAUGAUAGCUUCCCCUUAACAACUAACUCUAACUAUAAAUACUGAAUCUUGCAUGCAACAUUUCAUAGUAAACACUAAGACCAAAACCUCUUCUUUCUAUCCAUGACUGCUAGGGCUAGUUGCCCCAAAAUGGGGCAUUUUUGGCCACAAAUGGCAAUGGCAUUGGCCAUUGUUUUGAUUUCUACUACUAUGGUUUCUGCUUCUGAUAGCUACAUUUACUCUUCGCCUCCACCACCUUAUGAGUACAAGUCCCCACCACCGCCGUCUCCCUCACCACCUCCUCCUUAUGUGUAUAAGUCACCACCUCCCCCAUCCUCGUCACCCCCACCACCAUAUGAGCACAAGGCUCCAUCUUAUGAGUACAAGUCACCACCACCACCAACUUCUUCACCACCACCUCCUUAUGUAUACAAGUCACCACCACCACCAUCUCCUUCACCGUCACCUCCUUAUGUGUACAAGUCACCACCACCUCCAUCCCCAUCACCCCCACCUCCUUACGUGUACAAGUCACCACCACCACCCUCGCCUUCCCCGCCCCCACCAUACUAUUACAAGUCUCCUCCACCACCCUCGCCUUCCCCACCGCCACCAUACUAUUACAAGAGUCCUCCACCACCCUCUCCUUCACCUCCACCUCCUUACUACUAUAAAUCGCCUCCACCACCCUCACCUUCCCCUCCCCCACCAUACUAUUACAAGUCUCCUCCACCACCAUCUCCCUCACCACCUCCUCCAUAUUACUACAAGUCUCCCACACCACCUUCACCCUCCUCUCCACCCCCAUAUAUACACAAGGAUCCACCAUACUAUUACAAGUCCCCACCACCCCCUUCACCAUCUCCUCCACCACCAUACUACUAUAAAUCUCCCCCACCACCCUCACCCUCUCCACCCCCACCUUACUAUUACAAGUCUCCUCCACCACCUUCACCAUCUCCUCCACCACCAUACUAUUACAAAUCUCCUCCUCCUCCAUCUCCUAUUCCCCAUACACCUUACUAUUACAAAUCUCCCCCACCACCUUCACCAUCUCCUCCACCACCAUACUAUUACAAAUCUCCUCCUCCUCCAUCUCCUAUUCCCCGUACACCUUACUAUUACAAAUCUCCCCCACCACCUUCACCAUCUCCUCCACCACCAUACUACUACAAAUCCCCUCCUCAUCCAUCUCCCAUUCCCCAUACACCUUACUAUUACACAUCUCCCCCACCACCUUCACCGUCUCCUCCACCACCAUAUUACUACAAAUCUCCUCCCCCUCCGUCUCCUAUUCCCCACACACCUUACUACUACAAGUCCCCACCACCACCAAAGGUCCUUCCACCACCAUACUAUUACAAUUCUCCUCCUCCACCUGUUGUGUAUCCUCACCCAUAUCCCUACCACCACUCACUUAUUGUGAGGGUAGUCGGUAAAGUCUACAGCUUCAGAUGUUAUGAUUGGAAUUAUCCUGCAAAGUCUCAUAACAAGAAACAUCUCAAAGGUACAUUACAUUUCUUAGGACCGGACCUCUUUAGAGUAAUGUGUUUAGAGAUAAUGCACAAUUUUUUAUUUUUUUAUCUCGUAAAGGUUUAUUUAUUAUAAUCACAAUUUCACUUUUGUCAAAAAGAAAAACAAUUUUACUAUAUAUAGUUUUAAUCAUUAACAUUUUGAUGUAAAAAGAAUACAAUUCUCUAUUACCUUUUUACUAUGAUAUAUAUACAAAGAUUAUUCAAAUCUAUAUAUCCAACCUAAUUUCCAUCCAAAAAAAUAGAAAACAUAGGGUGCUUUGAACGCCUGCAGCAUCACAUGAAUAAAUAAAAACAAUCAAUAAUCAACCUUGUUCUAAUUUAUUUUAGACAGCGAUUGUUAAGCAUACUGCUCUUUUAAUUACAUUUUUUUUAAAGAUGCUCUUUUAAUUAUAUUGUCCUAAUAUAAUAUGUGUCUUUAUAUAUUACUUGUCGUAAACUAAUUUUAUUAUGGGUGCAGGAGCUGUUGUUGAGGUGACAUGCAAAGCCGGGAGCAAAAUUGUCAAGGCUUAUGGAAAAACUAAGAACAAUGGAAAGUAUGCCAUCACAGUUAAGGACUUUGACUAUGUCAAAUAUGGUUCGACAGUGUGCAAGGCUACCCUUUAUGCUCCACCUAAGGGUUCACCCUUCAACAUACCUACAAAGCUAAAUCAAGGAACAAAGUUGUACUUGAAAUCCAAAGACAAGUACGAGGUUGUGCUCAAGGCUAAGCCAUUUGCUUAUGCUUCAAAGAAACAUUUCAAAGAAUGUGAGAAGCCUAAGCCUUCACCAACUCCUU
Molecule: long non-coding RNA, 13435 nt
Filed under: Medicago truncatula (barrel medic)
Lineage: Eukaryota; Viridiplantae; Streptophyta; Magnoliopsida; Fabales; Fabaceae
Description: long non-coding RNA (MTRU_LNC000785)
Source: RNAcentral